UACGGGGGGAGCAAGCGUUGUUCGGAAUCACUGGGCGUAAAGGGCUCGUAGGUGGCCAACUAAGUCGGACGUGAAAUCCCUCAGCUUAACUGGGGAACUGCGUCCGAUACUGGAUGGCUUGAGUUUGGGAGAGGGAUGCGGAAUUCCAGGUGUAGCGGUGAAAUGCGUAGAUAUCUGGAGGAACACCGGUGGCGAAGGCGGCAUCCUGGACCAACACUGACACUGAUGAGCGAAAGCCAGGGGAGCAAACGGG
RNAcentral lists this ribosomal RNA (253 nucleotides) under uncultured bacterium. Its description in RNAcentral is "partial 16S ribosomal RNA". It matches the Rfam family "Bacterial small subunit ribosomal RNA", at positions 524 to 776 of the family's 1533-position model. The record is from RNAcentral.